GACGAACGCUGGCGGCGUGCUUAACACAUGCAAGUCGAACGGAAAGGCCUGCUUUCCCUUGUGGAUUGCGGGUACUCGAGUGGCGAACGGGUGAGUAACACGUGAGUGAUCUGCCCCCAACUUGGGUAUAAGCCUGGGAAACUGGGUCUAAUUCCCGAUAGGACUGCAGGGUGGUGCCUGUGGUGGAAAACGAUUUUCUAGUGGUUGGGGAUGAGCUCGCGGCUUAUCAGCUUGUUGGUGGGGUAAUGGCCUACCAAGGCGGCGACGGGUAGCCGGCCUGAGAGGGUGGACGGCCACAUUGGGACUGAGAUACGGCCCAGACUCCUACGGGAGGCAGCAGUGGGGAAUAUUGCACAAUGGGCGGAAGCCUGAUGCAGCGACGCAGCGUGGGGGAUGACGGCCUUCGGGUUGUAAACUCCUUUCGACCGCGAGGAAGCCACCUGGUUGGAAGGGUGGUGACGGUAGUGGUAGAAGAAGCACCGGCUAACUACGUG
RNAcentral lists this ribosomal RNA (494 nucleotides) under uncultured bacterium. Its description in RNAcentral is "partial 16S ribosomal RNA". It matches the Rfam family "Bacterial small subunit ribosomal RNA", at positions 28 to 507 of the family's 1533-position model. The record is from RNAcentral.